UGUCCUGUAAAUGGUCUGAACUUCCAUAUUUAUAGCUGCGGACGCCGAACAAUAUUCAAUUUGGUUGAGCGGUCCGUGACCUUUGAGUGGAUGGUGGGUCUCUGUGUCUGUGUCGGUGUCGGCCACUAACUCCUUAUGCGAGAUGAGUCAUUUGUCUUUUUGCAACCCGUGACUUUUGAGUGAAUGGUGGGUCCUUAUGUCUGUGACGUCAUUGUUUUUGUCUUAUCGGCUGCUUGUCAGUGUGUAGGUUUAUGAUGGGUCCUACAUUUCUGCUUGUGUAAAGAAAUCAUCGUUAUCGUCUGCAAGAUCAAUUGGUGAUGGUGAUGCUGUUGAGCUUCUGGUUUCUUUGAGUUCUUCUAGUAAUUUGUCAUAUUCUUUUUCUGAGGUACAAGCUGUCAUUUGUGCCAUUAACUGUUGUUUUUGGGCUAGGAAAAUCUCAUGUUUGGUUAUGGUAGAUGGGCUUGGAGUCUUGCUGUAUUGUGGAUGGUCAAGGAAGAAUUGUUCUAUGGCUUGUGGGCCACAAGCCUGCAAAUUGGUUUUAUUCCACCAUUUAAUUUUAUAUCUACGGACCAAAAUUGGGAUCUGAAAAUUGUCAAGAGUUUGGUCUUUUAUUUGAUAUUCUAUCAUGAGGAUCCAUGGGAUAUGGAAAUAGUGACAAUAAAUAGCCCAUUGGGGUGAAUAGAUAAUUGUAUCAGGUAAUUGGUUUUGCUCAAAAAAUUGGGUUUUUGCUAUCUUAAUUUGGUCAGGAAUUAUUUUUUCAUUGAUUCCAAAUUUGUUCCACCAUUGAUGGAACCAAUAUGGCAAUGGAUAUGUGAAAGUAUCUGCAAAAAAGAAAAAGAAAGAAACUGAUAAUUGGUCAUUUUGCUUUAGGAAAGUUCUUUCCCAAGCAAUUUGGUAAUCAUAAUAAUUGUAUUUGAUAUUUUGUCUCAUUUGUCCAUUUGUCAUUACCAUUUCUCUGGUUUUAUGGGGCUCUUGUCCCCAAUCUGUGAGAGUCCAUAUUUUUAAUAUUCUUAUCUUACAAUAUCUUAAUUUAUUUGGGAUUUGAGGAUCGAAAUUGUUAUAGAUAAUAAGAGAAUUGGUAUUGACUAGAAUGGCUUCAUAAAAUUGUUGGGAUUUAUGGAAAUUAUCUGGUAUAUAAAAGUGAGUUUUAGGAAAGAUAGUAUCACAAAGUUGGUAUUCAUUCAUAUUAGGAUUCUGGGCCCAAUACUCAGGUUCAAUGGUGAGAAUAUAGUCUUCAAUGGUUUUGUACUUGUAAUCUGUCUGGGAUUGGUCUUGGGACAUUGUUGGGCUUGAAGAAGAUCCUGUAACUGCUUGUUUGAAAGUAGAGGGAGUUAUGAGAUCAGGAGGAGUUCUUAGUGGACUGAAUUUAUUUAGUGAAACAAAAUUGGGCCUUGGCGACCUGGGCCUUGGGUAAGUUGGUUGAACAAUUAAAGCACUAGAGAUUGGACUCAUUGGCCUAUGCAUAAUACUUGAAGUACUGGUGUAUAUUGGUCUAGCAAUAGAAGUUUGUCCAGAAGUAAAUAAUUUUGCAUUUGUCAGAUUUGUUUUAG
This 1550-nucleotide long non-coding RNA is filed under the name Manihot esculenta (cassava). RNAcentral's name for it is "long non-coding RNA (MESC_LNC002084)". The record is from RNAcentral. Lineage: Eukaryota; Viridiplantae; Streptophyta; Magnoliopsida; Malpighiales; Euphorbiaceae.